GUCUGAAGGACAGCUCCAUUGGUAGAGCAUGAGUCUCUUAAUCUCAAGGUUGAGGGUUCAAGCUCCACUUUGGGUG
Podarcis lilfordi (Lilford's wall lizard) is the source of this 76-nucleotide non-coding RNA. NCBI's taxonomy places the organism in Eukaryota, Metazoa, Chordata, Lepidosauria, Squamata, Lacertidae. The record is from the annotation of a GenBank genome assembly.